GCGCCCGUAGUUCAACGGAUAGAACAUCGACCUCCGGAGCCGAAGAUUACUGGUUCGAAUCCAGUCGGGCGCA
This 73-nucleotide transfer RNA is filed under the name Candidatus Bathyarchaeota archaeon. RNAcentral's name for it is "tRNA-Arg". It matches the Rfam family "tRNA". From Rfam's summary of the family: Transfer RNA (tRNA) molecules are approximately 80 nucleotides in length. Their secondary structure includes four short double-helical elements and three loops (D, anti-codon, and T loops). Further hydrogen bonds mediate the characteristic L-shaped molecular structure. tRNAs have two regions of fundamental functional importance: the anti-codon, which is responsible for specific mRNA codon recognition, and the 3' end, to which the tRNAs corresponding amino acid is attached (by aminoacyl-tRNA synthetases). tRNAs cope with the degeneracy of the genetic code in two manners: having more than one tRNA (with a specific anti-codon) for a particular amino acid; and 'wobble' base-pairing, i.e. permitting non-standard base-pairing at the 3rd anti-codon position. Lineage: Archaea; Thermoproteati; Candidatus Bathyarchaeota. The record is from RNAcentral.